GUGAUGUAGCGCGUGAGGGCCGAUUUUGUGAAGAAAACCUUCGAUCUGA
Molecule: small nucleolar RNA, 49 nt
Filed under: Pyrobaculum arsenaticum DSM 13514
Lineage: Archaea; Thermoproteati; Thermoproteota; Thermoprotei; Thermoproteales; Thermoproteaceae
Description: PARsR45
Source: RNAcentral